This 235-nucleotide ribosomal RNA is filed under the name uncultured bacterium. RNAcentral's name for it is "partial 16S ribosomal RNA". It matches the Rfam family "Bacterial small subunit ribosomal RNA", at positions 118 to 351 of the family's 1533-position model. The record is from RNAcentral.
UGAGUAACCUGCCCUUAACUCUGGGAUAAGCCUGGGAAACUGGGUCUAAUACCGGAUAUGACUCCUCAUCGCAUGGUGGGGGGUGGAAAGCUUUUUUGUGGUUUUGGAUGGACUCGCGGCCUAUCAGCUUGUUGGUGUGGGUAAUGGCCCACCAAGGCGACGACGGGUAGCCGGCCUGAGAGGGUGACCGGCCACACUGGGACUGAGACACGGCCCAGACUCCUACGGGAGGCAG